CUGUAAUCUYCGUUGUUGAAGAGGAUCCAAUCCGRAGAGUUACUGUCAGGUAUUGACGUAUUUAUCCAGAAAGUUCACGCYUAUCUACCGUGUCAGKCAGUCCGCGGUAAUACGUAGGUGUCAAGCGUGUCCGGAUUUAUUGGGCGUAAAGCGAGCGUCAGGCGGUUUUUUAAGUCUGAUGUGAAAGCUUUCGGCUCAUCCGAAGAAGUKCAUCGGAAACUGGGAAACUUGAGUGCAGAAGAGGWCAGUGGAACUUCCAUGUGUAGCGGUGAAAUGCGUAGAUAUAUGGAAGAWCAYYCAGUGGCGAAGGCGGCUGUCUGGUCUGUAACUGACGCUGAGGCUCGAAAGUAUGGGUAGCAAACAGGAUUAGAUAYUCUGGUAGUCCAUAYCGUAAACGAUGAAUGCUAAGUGUUGGAGGGUUUCCGYUCUUCAGUGCUGCAGCUAACGCAUUAAGCAUUCYGCCUGGGGAGUACGGCCGCAAGGCUGAAACUCAAAGGAAUUGACGGGGGYYCGCAUAAGCGGUGGAGUAUGUGGUUUAAUUCGAAGCUACGCGAAGAWCCUUAYCAGGUCUUGACAUACUAUGCAAAUCUAAGAGAUUAGACGUUCCCUUCGGGGACAUGGAUACAGGUGGUGCAUGGUUGUCGUCAGCUCGUGUCGUGAGAUGUUGGGUUAAGUCCCGCAACGAGCGCAACCCUUAUUAUCAGUUGCCAGCAUUAAGUUGGGCACUCUGGUGAGACUGCCGGUGACAAACCGGAGGAAGGUGGGGAUGACGUCAAAUCAUCAUGCCCCUUAUGACCUGGGCUACACACGUGCUACAAUGGAUGGUACAACGAGUUGCGAACUCGCGAGAGUAAGCUAAUCUCUUAAAGCCAUUCUCAGUUCGGAUUGUAGGCUGCAACUCGCCUACAUGAAGUCGGAAUCGCUAGUAAUCGCGGAUCAGCAUGCCGCGGUGAAUACGUUCCCGGGCCUUGUACACACCGCCCGUCACACCAUGAGAGUUUGUAACWCCCWAAGUCKGUGGGGUAACYUUUUAGGAACUCWGCYUKCUUAAGGKKGGRRAUU
RNAcentral lists this ribosomal RNA (1062 nucleotides) under Lactiplantibacillus plantarum. RNAcentral describes it as "Lactobacillus plantarum partial 16S ribosomal RNA". It matches the Rfam family "Bacterial small subunit ribosomal RNA", at positions 423 to 1473 of the family's 1533-position model. The record is from RNAcentral. Lineage: Bacteria; Bacillati; Bacillota; Bacilli; Lactobacillales; Lactobacillaceae.